This 318-nucleotide ribosomal RNA is filed under the name uncultured soil eukaryote. RNAcentral describes it as "eukaryotic LSU rRNA". The record is from RNAcentral.
UUAUAAAGGGUACGCACUGGCGACUUCAGGUACACCGACUUCGGUCGGUUUUUCGUGUGUCUUUUUCUUUCCUAACCGAAAUCAUCAUGCGGAGAUACCCUUCUCUUGUUAACUGCAAGCACUCUGCGCUCUGCGAGCGACUUUGAUUCGUCUUAGUCGCACUCAAUGCAGCAGUCACAUUGUUUACAGUGUGAACUCAUUGAGAGUAGAGGCAGCGCGGCCUUACAGCUGCAAGUGCUUAGACACUCAAACUUUUCUUGUAUCUGAAAUCAAGCAGGACCACCCGCUGAACUUAAGCAUAUCAAUAAGCGGAUUGAG